CAGCCGUAAACUAUGCUCGCUAGGUGUCAGGCAUGGCGCGACCGUGUCUGGUGCCGCAGGGAAGCCGUGAAGCGAGCCACCUGGGAAGUACGGCCGCAAGGCUGAAACUUAAAGGAAUUGGCGGGGGAGCACAACAACGGGUGGAGCCUGCGGUUUAAUUGGACUCAACGCCGGACAACUCACCGGGGACGACAGCAAUAUGUAGGCCAGGCUGAAGACCUUGCCUGAAUCGCUGAGAGGAGGUGCAUGGCGUAGACG
RNAcentral lists this ribosomal RNA (258 nucleotides) under uncultured archaeon. Its description in RNAcentral is "partial 16S ribosomal RNA". It matches the Rfam family "Archaeal small subunit ribosomal RNA", at positions 748 to 1006 of the family's 1478-position model. The record is from RNAcentral.